RNAcentral lists this long non-coding RNA (767 nucleotides) under Bemisia tabaci. RNAcentral's name for it is "lncRNA ENSASIAIIG008181". Lineage: Eukaryota; Metazoa; Arthropoda; Insecta; Hemiptera; Aleyrodidae. The record is from RNAcentral.
AAACUUUUCUUUCUUUCGUCGAGUGCUGUUCGGCCGUUUAAGUCGUCACCAUUCCUCUGAAGGUUAUUCUUGUUUCCGUUGUGCAAUACCGUCCUAUAAAUUUUGACCUACAAUCGCAAAUCCUCUCAUCGAUAAAAUAGAACUUCCCGUUGUAAAUUUUAAUCAUUAUCUUGCAAGUUCGUCGGAGAUUCACCUUUUCUUGUGCAACGUACUUGGGAUCCUUGUUUUCACGAUCGGCUGCACUUUGGACGACUCGAAACCUGACGGACGUUUGGAUGAGUGUCGGGUGGAUCUUGAUGUUUCGUUAUUCAUGAUCAGGAAACGAAAAAAAGUGAACGAUAAAGUGCAUUUAUUGGUGUUUCGCGAUUCGCGGGAUUGUUUAUUUAUUGACUAAAAAUCGAUCGUUAGUUGGUUUACUAUCUACAUCAAUUUUAAUCUUUUUAAAUCCAGUGAUGUGACUGCAUAAAUUGUUCUAUUGUCCUCAGAAUUUCAUUCAUUCAAGUUUCAUCCAUUUCCCUUUUACACCCACCGCACAGUGAUACCACUCGCUUUUUUGUUCAGAAAAAGUCAAUACCUACGACCUCCAGGAAUAACUCAAGUGCUAUUUAUCGAGGUAAAAGGAAUUUAAAUUCAAUAAAAUUGGAAAUUCAGUGACAAGUGGUUACGAGCAAUUGUGAUUUCUAUCUUCGUGAAACAUCGAUUAUGGGUGAGUUUUUUUGUUUUGCUUCACAAAAUUUUAUUUCCAAGACCUGCAAUACAGGCUUAUA